CUUGUCUCAUAGCGUCUGGCUUAGAUCAACUGCGGUGAUGGUUCUUCUCACUCCUGACCGGGUGAUACCCACUCAUGAGUGGUUUCUCUCCUCGUAAAGUUUGGAACUCGUCCGAGGACCGCUGGGCUUGCCAAUGUCAUGGGCACCGUGUCGCUGGUAUUGCACCGCCUCCAGCUGACGCAAACCAUC
Molecule: small nuclear RNA, 189 nt
Filed under: Baudoinia panamericana UAMH 10762
Lineage: Eukaryota; Fungi; Ascomycota; Dothideomycetes; Mycosphaerellales; Teratosphaeriaceae
Description: U2 spliceosomal RNA
Rfam family: U2 spliceosomal RNA
About the family: U2 is a small nuclear RNA (snRNA) component of the spliceosome (involved in pre-mRNA splicing). Complementary binding between U2 snRNA (in an area lying towards the 5' end but 3' to hairpin I) and the branchpoint sequence (BPS) of the intron results the bulging out of an unpaired adenosine, on the BPS, which initiates a nucleophilic attack at the intronic 5' splice site, thus starting the first of two transesterification reactions that mediate splicing.
Source: Rfam by way of RNAcentral